GAGGAGAGCCCCCACCGAGCUCCCCAGGACCCCCAGAGCCCAGAUCCAGCAGCCCCCACAUCCCCCGAAGCUGAAGGUGGGAGCCCAGCAGCACGCAUGGUUCCUCCCCCAGGUCUUCUCUCCCAGAGUGCUCCAGAUGGAAAGAGGAGUCACCGGCCAGAAACCCCACAGGCAGCUGACAAUGGCCUGGAGGAUGAGAAGGGGGAAAAAACAGAGACACCGAACGGAGCUGAGAUACGUUCCGGAUGAUCCAAGGGGAACUCAGCCCAGAAGGCAAACCCAACACCACAGCAUCAACCACAGCAAAGCUCCAAGGAACCACAUGGACAAGUGAAGCUGGAGCCCCGUGGCCACCGGUCCCCGAGGACAGGUGGAAGCCCGAAAGGCUGCUGAGGGGAUCCUGUGGUGGGGAGAACCUACAAUAGCAACGAGGCCAGGAGGCCAGGAGGCACAGCGCACAGAGCCUCCUACGGGUGUCCAGACUGUGGGAAGACCUUCAGCAGGAUGUCGUUCCUUGUCCCCCACCAGAGGAUCCACACUGGGGAGAAGACCUUCACGUGCCACAAGUGCAUCCACUACUUUUGGCCUCCUGCAAGGCCACUGGAGGCCACUAGAUUCCAGGGAGAGUCCUUAUUUUGCCUCGAGGGUGCAAGAGGAGGCUCAUAGGGCAUGCUAGAGUGCCCUUGGAGGACUGUAGGGCAUCCUAGAGUACACUGGGGGUCACUGGAAGGCUUUCCGGGGGAGCUAGAGGGCACUGGGGGGCACUGGUAGACCUGCGGAGAAUCUAGAGUGCAGCGGAGGACCACAGGAGGCCUGCAAUGUUCCAGAGAGUGCAGUAGAGAGCACUGUGAGGCUGCUGGAGACCACUAGAUUCCAGCAAGAGUCUUUAUUUUGCCUCGAGGAUGCAAGAGGAGGCUCGUAGGGCACCCUAGAGAGCCCUGGGUGUCCUCUAGAGCUUCCUUGAGGACACUGGGGGUCACUGGGAGGCUUUCCGAGGGAGCUAGAGGGCACUGGGUGGCCCUGGUAAACCUGCGGAGGAUCUAGAGUGCAGCAGAGGAAUACAGGAGGCCUCCAGUGUGCCCGAGAGUGCACUAGAUGGCAGUGUGAGGUUUCCAGAUGCCACUAUAUUCCAGGAAGAGUCCUUAUUUUGCCUCUAGGGUGGAAGACAAGGCUCAUAGGGCAUCCUAGAGUGCCCUUGGAGGCCUGUAGGGCACCCUUGAGGACACUGGGGGUCAUUGGGAGUCUUUCCAAGGGAGCUAGAGGGCACUGGGUUGCCCUGGUAGACCUGCAGAGCAUCUACAGUUCAGUGGAGGGCCACAGGAGUCCUCCAGUGUGCCAAUGAGUGCAUUAGAGAGCCCUGCGAGGCAUCCAGAGGCCACUAGAUUCCAGGGAGAGUCCUUAUUUUGCCUCUAGGGUGCUAGAGGAGGCUUGUAGGGCAUCCUAGAGUGCCCUGGAAGGCCUCUAGGGCAUCCACUGCUAUUCGUCUGGGGUUGGUGUUGGGUGAGGUUUUGAACAACCAUAAAUAACUACAUGAUUCCCAGAACUACAGUGGAAGAAAGGCAACUAUAUAUAUAUGUGUGUAUAUAUAUAUAAAACCAGCUAAAGCUUGACAUCGUUCUUGCCCACUGUCAUGGUGGACUAUGAGGUGUGAAGGAGGCUGGGGAGCAGGCAAGCAGGGUACAGCCACUGUCCGACUCUGGCCACCAGCUGUACCCGGCAUGAGGGCCCUCUGGUCUUUCCCCCACAGACACUUGGAACUGGCAGGAGGGCUGGCCACCAGCUGCUUAGCUUUGCUUCACUUUUUUUGCUUCAGUUUUUCCUUGCUCUUCUUUGCUUUGUUCUUCCUUGGCACAGUUUUGCUUUUCCUUCUCUACUCUCCUUUGCUGUUCUUGCCCCUGCUUUGCUCUUCUUUGCUUUGUUCUUCCUUGGCACAGUUUUGCUUUUCCUUCUCUACUCUCCUUUGCUGUUCUUGCCCCUGCUUUGCUCUUCUUUGCCUCGAAUUGCUUUGCUUUGAUUUGUUUGCUUUGUCUUUCCUGGCAAUGCUUUGCUUUUCCUUGUGCUACUUUCCUUUGCUUUGCUUUGCCUUGCUCUGCUUUGCCUUCCCUGGCCCUGCUUUGCUUUGCUUUUCCUGGCUCUGCUUUGCCUUUCCUGGCCCUGCUUUCCUUGGUUUUCUUGGCCCAGCUUUGAUUUGUUUUCCUUUGCUUUUCCUGUGACACACAGAAACAAAUUUUACAACUCGAGGAGAGUUAUAAAGCAGGUAUGUUUAUUGCAGCACUGGGUGCAAGGGGGAUCGCUCCUCCUAGCUUGCACACCAAGGGUUACUACCAGGGUGAGAUAUAUACAUUGAUAUCAUUGAUGAGAUAUACACAUACUCAUUUCACUCCCCCCCCCCCACACACAUGUAAGUCUCUUGCAUAUUCAUUACGUAUCCAAAGAUUCAUUAACAUAGGUUCCCACCCCUAUUCGCAUGCAUGCUAUAGUCCUUCGGUGGUCAUCCAGCAUACUCUGGUGGUCUUUUGAUGAAGGCCAGAAGUCUUCCUCACUGCUAAACUUUUGACCCUUCCUGUCAUUUGCAGACUUCAGCAGUCCAGGUCAGUUCUUGCUGGUUACCUUUAGGGUCAUCCUGUCCUUGUGGUCAAUAUACAACAUACUUCCUGUUUCAGUCCUGUCCUUGUGGUUGACAACCCUCUUCCUGUCUCAGUCCUGUCCUUAUGGUUGAUAUACAAAAUACAUCUGUGUUAGUGUGUGAUGGUUUUACUCGGGUGGGCAGCUGAGUUCCACCACGGCCGCUCUCUCACUCCCCGUCCUCAAAGAGGAAGGGGGAGAAAAUAGGACACAAAGAGCUCAAGGUUUGAGAUAAGGAUGAUUUAAUUAAAGGGAAAAGGGAGAGGGAAAAAAAAAAAAAAAAAGGGGAAAAAAAAAAAAGCAAAGGCAGCAC
This is a long non-coding RNA of Cygnus olor (mute swan), 2938 nucleotides long. RefSeq lists it as uncharacterized. The transcript has 2 exons. Lineage: Eukaryota; Metazoa; Chordata; Aves; Anseriformes; Anatidae. The record is from RefSeq and is a predicted model, not a curated record.